RNAcentral lists this ribosomal RNA (495 nucleotides) under uncultured bacterium. RNAcentral's name for it is "partial 16S ribosomal RNA". It matches the Rfam family "Bacterial small subunit ribosomal RNA", at positions 30 to 507 of the family's 1533-position model. The record is from RNAcentral.
UGAACGCUGGCGGCGUGCCUAAUACAUGCAAGUCGAGCGAACGGACGCGAAGCUUGCUUCUCUGAUGUUAGCGGCGGACGGGUGAGUAACACGUGGAUAACCUACCUAUAAGACUGGGAUAACUUCGGGAAACCGGAGCUAAUACCGGAUAAUAUUUUGAACCGCAUGGUUCAAAAGUGAAAGACGGUCUUGCUGUCACUUAUAGAUGGAUCCGCGCUGCAUUGGCUAGUUGGUAAGGUAACGGCUUACCAAGGCAACGAUGCAUAGCCGACCUGAGAGGGUGAUCGGCCACACUGGAACUGAGACACGGUCCAGACUCCUACGGGAGGCAGCAGUAGGGAAUCUUCCGCAAUGGGCGAAAGCCUGACGGAGCAACGCCGCGUGAGUGAUGAAGGUCUUCGGAUCGUAAAACUCUGUUAUUAGGGAAGAACAUAUGUGUAAGUAACUGUGCACAUCUUGACGGUACCUAAUCAGAAAGCCACGGCUAACUACGUG